RNAcentral lists this small nuclear RNA (301 nucleotides) under Felis catus (domestic cat). RNAcentral describes it as "7SK RNA". It matches the Rfam family "7SK RNA". From Rfam's summary of the family: 7SK was discovered as an abundant small nuclear RNA in the mid-70s but a possible function has only recently been suggested. Two independent studies have found that 7SK RNA binds the CDK9/cyclin T complex (known as elongation factor P-TEFb). The record is from Rfam by way of RNAcentral. Lineage: Eukaryota; Metazoa; Chordata; Mammalia; Carnivora; Felidae.
GGAUGUGAGGGCGAUCUGGCUGCAACAUCUGUCACCCCAUUGAUCGCCAGGGUUGAUUCGGCUGAUCUGGCUGGCUAGGCGGGUGUCCCCUUCCUCCCUCACCACUCCAUGUGCGUCCCUCCCGAAGCUCCGCGCUCGGUCGAGGAGGACGACCUUCCCCGAUAGAGGAGGACCGUUCUUCGGUCAAGGGUAUACGAGUAGCUGCGCUCCCCUGCUAGAACCUCCAAACAAGCUCUCAAAUCGUAAGUAGACUGAAUCUUACCAAAAUCAUAUCUCAACUGCCAACUCCCAGAGCUUAGUC